Molecule: long non-coding RNA, 1225 nt
Organism: Brienomyrus brachyistius
Lineage: Eukaryota; Metazoa; Chordata; Actinopteri; Osteoglossiformes; Mormyridae
Exons: 3
Source: RefSeq, a predicted model, not a curated record
GACAAACAAGAACGGCGACGGAUCAGAAUAGCGCUAAGCGCCUCCGACGACCGAUUGUUGCCGUGCAGCGGGACCCUGUGUUUCCCGGGGGCUCCUCUACUGUGACGCCUUACCCACGAUGCCUUUUAUGUUGGGAGGACGCCGAUGCCAGGAUGGGAGGCAGAGAGGACCUGGGAUUUGAGCAGGACAUAUUGUGCAGACUGGAACAGUUAUGCCAUAACAUCCCAGAGAAGGUGGAGGGAGAGGAAUGCUGACAUCUCUCACCUGCUGACAGCUUGACAUCUCCACUGGGCCAAAGUGAGUUUUGUGCAGGCACCGCUGUGGCCGGCCUGAGAUUUCGUCGGGUCCUCACAGAGGAGAGGAGAAGCCAACUUCAUGUCGGCUCCAUCGGCCAGCGGAUCCACUGACAAAUGAACUAACGUGACCGAGCGGUACACAUGUUUGGCGGCAUUGUUUACUCUUGUGGUCGAUGUCGCGAUUUUUAUGGAUGCGGUGUCUCUCUCGGACAGAUGACUUCAAUUACGAGUAUUUCGGGCUUCUCGUUGUUCCGAGGACGUUCUCUGUGUUGUCCAAAUUGUUUUGCUAUUUUUCUUCCCCCUGGUUGAGACAAAGCUUUUGUUCGCUUUGUUGUGACACCCAGGGAAAGUCAGUUGGCGUUAAGGCUGCCAAUUAGUGGCGCACAUGAAUGUCCUAACGAGACCUCGGGAGCCCGGGUGGGGGAGGGCUUGAUUAUGGCGCCGAACUGACACAGACCCAACAUCCUGAUGAUGACGGCUGUGCAGCUGUGGGCGACACGCACGCACCGCCCAGCCUGCGGACUUGAUCAAAGGACCGUCGACCGAGAGCGGGAAGUGCGGCCGGUUCCACUGGACUUGCAGAGCACCCUAUGGUUUCCAUGCUCCAAAUAUAAUAAUAAACACCAGGACGGAAACGGUCAACAAUGGUGAUUGGUGUAGCGUCCUUUUUCCCAGAGAAGCGGCCUCUGUUUAUUUGUUUCCAUAUUGUGAAACAACUCUCAAAUAAAGUAUAUGAUUUAAAUUAAAAUACUCCAGUCACUAAUCCUGGAUAACAGCCUGAGAACAGCUAACGGCUGUGAUCUGCGGGCCAGAUCGUCUUAUUUGGGAUCAUGGCGAAUGCAGUUCGAUGAAAAGUAAUGGCCAGAUACUGUGAAAUGUGAGAGCGUGUUAACAACAAGGUUCAUUAUCUUGAAAAUGCACAUCCUUUA